AUUAGAAUAAAGUAUGUUCUGAUGAUUGGGUUUUCAUGGGCACGAGUGAAAUGUGCCUCCCCCAAAUCUUGUUAGAACAUCGGCACAUUACCUAUCUGACA
Molecule: small nucleolar RNA, 101 nt
Organism: Nycticebus coucang (slow loris)
Lineage: Eukaryota; Metazoa; Chordata; Mammalia; Primates; Lorisidae
Product: small nucleolar RNA U13
Exons: 1
Source: RefSeq, a predicted model, not a curated record